CUUCAGCGAGCUCACGCUCACUAUCGAACCGUUUUAGAAACAUUCAGGGGCCAACAGUUUCAGGAUUGUUGAGCUCCAUUGGCGGGAUUUCGCCGUCUACGUUUCUCUUUCUUCGCGGACGAACACGCGUCGGGGCUUAGCGCUGUGCGGUUGCAUUCGGCGCUGGUCGCCGGCUGCGCGCACGCAGGAUCCCUAGUCCUAUGAAGGAUAGCGUUAGGGGCUUGUAGCUCAGUUGGUUAGAGCGCGCGCUUGAUAAGCGUGAGGUCGGAAGUUCAAGUCUUCCCAGGCCCACCACUUUCAUCGAGCGAGCAUUCGUCUUCUGGUUACGGGGCCAUAGCUCAGCUGGGAGAGCGCGUGCUUUGCAAGCAUGAGGUCGUCGGUUCGAUCCCGUCUGGCUCCACCAGAUGGUUUGAUCACCAACGGCAACACCGUCGUCCGCGAAACAUCACUUCGCACCCACUAGUCCGGAUGGACAGUGACGUGCGUGUUUUCUGACAUCGUAAAGAGGAGAUCGAUCCGAGGUUGGAUCAAGCGAAGCAAUUCGCCUGAACCAUUCAUUAUCUCCGGAUCAUUUCGGCGCUCGCUUUCAGUCGUGAGAUUGAAUGCGGGUUGUAAAUGAUCCUUUCAGCGAAGCUUGACCGCCUCGCUGUCGGGCCGAUCUUACGAAGCAAGCUGGUCUUUCUAGUCAAUGUCCGGCUGCGACAAUCGCGUUCAUCGAGGACGCGUGCCUUCAAUGGCAGUUGCGCAGACAACAUUCUGCCGAGUGUGUGGACAUUGAUAAUGAGAGC
Molecule: transfer RNA, 788 nt
Filed under: Bradyrhizobium genosp. TUXTLAS-22
Lineage: Bacteria; Pseudomonadati; Pseudomonadota; Alphaproteobacteria; Hyphomicrobiales; Nitrobacteraceae
Description: partial 16S-23S ribosomal RNA intergenic spacer
Rfam family: tRNA (bases 218-291)
Source: RNAcentral